GGAAGGAUCAUUAUUGAAAUAAACCUGAUGGGUUGUUGCUGGUUCUCUAGGGAGCAUGUGCACGCCUUGUCAUCUUUAUAUCUCCACCUGUGCACCUUUUGUAGGCCUUCCAGGUCUAUGUUUGCCUCAUUUAACCCCAUGUUAAUAGAAUGUUGUUGUGCCUAUAUAAUAUACAACUUUCAGCAACGGAUCUCUUGGCUCUCGCAUCGAUGAAGAACGCAGC
This 223-nucleotide unclassified non-coding RNA is filed under the name uncultured fungus. Its description in RNAcentral is "sequence contains ITS1, 5.8S rRNA gene, ITS2 and 28S rRNA gene". The stretch from base 175 to 223 matches the Rfam family "5.8S ribosomal RNA", at positions 1 to 49 of the family's 154-position model. Lineage: Eukaryota; Fungi. The record is from RNAcentral.